Non-coding RNA from Pogona vitticeps (central bearded dragon), 469 nucleotides. The record is from RefSeq and is a predicted model, not a curated record. Lineage: Eukaryota; Metazoa; Chordata; Lepidosauria; Squamata; Agamidae.
GUACCCUGGAGGAUGCAGGUCGGUGUGCCAGGACACCACCAAGGGCAAGAGACACACAGGAAAGAAAGCUGGCCUUCCCAUCCAGCCAGAGAGCAGAAGUAACUCGUUACAACGAACGCCAUCCGUGGCACAGAACAAGGGAAGAAACCGUUACAGAGUUACUUGCCAGCCUCGGAUGCGGCCCAAAGGAGAAGCGACAACGGGGCAAUAACGCGUUUCGCCACAAACCGCUCGCGCAGCGGGAGCGACGGAAGGGAAGCGAGCCACCCCGUAGCGAGUAACGAGAAACGCGCCGCGUUCCUUUUAAAACGCCGCCACCGUUCCAAGCGCUGAGGCCCCGCCCUCAGGCAGCCGCAGGGACGGAGGCGGCGGCCGUCCUCCGGCUGGGGAGGGGGGGCGAUCCACCCUCCCCAGGGGCUGCCGGGCGGCGUCCCCUCCGCGGGCCUUCUGCCUUGGAAUUGGAGGGGGG